UUGGAGGGCAGUCUGGUGCCAGCAGCCGCGGUAAUUCCAGCUCCAAUAGCGUAUAUUAAAGUUGUUGCAGUUAAAAAGCUCGUAGUUGAAUUUCGGGAUCAAAUUGUCGGUCGUGCCUCGGUACGCACUGGUAUUAUUGGUUCCUACCUUCUGAAGAACCGCGAUGUCAUUAAUUUGGUGUCGUGGGGAAUCAGGACUGUUACUUUGAAAAAAUUAGAGUGUUUAAAGCAGGCUUACGCUUGAAUACAUUAGCAUGGAAUAAUGAAAUAGGACGUUUGAUUCUAUUUUGUUGGUUUCUAGGAUUGACGUAAUGAUUAAUAGGGAUAGUUGGGGGCAUUAGUAUUCAAUUGUCAGAGGUGAAAUUCUUGGAUUUAUUGAAGACUAACUACUGCGAAAGCAUUUGCCAAGGAUGUUCUCAUUAAUCAAGAACGAAAGUUAGGGGAUCGAAGACGAUCAGAUACCGUCGUAGUCUUAACCAUAAACUAUGCCGACUAGGGAUCGGAUGAUGUUAAUUUUUUAAUGACUCAUUCGGCGCCUUACGGGAAAC
RNAcentral lists this ribosomal RNA (547 nucleotides) under uncultured Glomeromycotina. RNAcentral's name for it is "SSU rRNA". It matches the Rfam family "Eukaryotic small subunit ribosomal RNA", at positions 548 to 1098 of the family's 1831-position model. Lineage: Eukaryota; Fungi; Glomeromycota. The record is from RNAcentral.